CUCGCGAGAGCAAGCGGACCUCAUAAAGUGCGUCGUAGUCCGGAUUGGAGUCUGCAACUCGACUCCAUGAAGUCGGAAUCGCUAGUAAUCGUGGAUCAGAAUGCCACGGUGAAUACGUUCCCGGGCCUUGUACACACCGCCCGUCACACCAUGGGAGUGGGUUUCAAAAGAAGUAGGUAGCUUAACCUUCGGGAGGGCGCUUACCACUUUGUGAUUCAUGACUGGGGUGAAGUCGUAACAAGGUAACCGUAGGGGAACCUGCGGUUGGAUCACCUCCUUACUUUAAAGAAGC
RNAcentral lists this ribosomal RNA (292 nucleotides) under Escherichia coli. Its description in RNAcentral is "partial 16S ribosomal RNA". It matches the Rfam family "Bacterial small subunit ribosomal RNA", at positions 1254 to 1533 of the family's 1533-position model. Lineage: Bacteria; Pseudomonadati; Pseudomonadota; Gammaproteobacteria; Enterobacterales; Enterobacteriaceae. The record is from RNAcentral.